GCACAAGCGGCGGAGCAUGCGGAUUAAUUCGAUGCAACGCGAAGAACCUUACCAAGGCUUGACAUACACCGGUAACGCCCAGAGAUGGGUGCCCCUUUGUGGUCGGUGUACAGGUGGUGCAUGGUUGUCGUCAGCUCGUGUCGUGAGAUGUUGGGUUAAGUCCCGCAACGAGCGCAACCCUCGUCCUAUGUUGCCAGCGGGUCAUGCCGGGGACUCAUGGGAGACUGCCGGGGUCAACUCGGAGGAAGGUGGGGAUGACGUCAAAUCAUCAUGCCCCUUAUGACCUGGGCUACACACGUGCUACAAUGGGCGGUACAAAGGGUCGCGAACCCGCGAGGGGGAGCCAAUCCCAAAAAGCCGCUCUCAGUUCGGAUUGCAGGCUGCAACUCGCCUGCAUGAAGCCGGAAUCGCUAGUAAUCGCGGAUCAGCACGCCGCGGUGAAUACGUUCCCGGGCCUU
This 458-nucleotide ribosomal RNA is filed under the name uncultured Curtobacterium sp. RNAcentral's name for it is "bacterial SSU rRNA". It matches the Rfam family "Bacterial small subunit ribosomal RNA", at positions 923 to 1382 of the family's 1533-position model. Lineage: Bacteria; Bacillati; Actinomycetota; Actinomycetes; Micrococcales; Microbacteriaceae. The record is from RNAcentral.